RNAcentral lists this ribosomal RNA (479 nucleotides) under uncultured bacterium. RNAcentral describes it as "partial 16S ribosomal RNA". It matches the Rfam family "Bacterial small subunit ribosomal RNA", at positions 28 to 507 of the family's 1533-position model. The record is from RNAcentral.
GAUGAACGCUGGCGGCGUGCUUAACACAUGCAAGUCGAACGAAGCACCUUGAUUCGAUUCUUCGGAUGAAGAUCUUGGUGACUGAGUGGCGGACGGGUGAGUAACGCGUGGGUAACCUGCCUCAUACAGGGGGAUAACAGUUAGAAAUGACUGCUAAUACCGCAUAAGACCACAGCACCGCAUGGUGCAGGGGUAAAAACUCCGGUGGUAUGAGAUGGACCCGCGUCUGAUUAGGUAGUUGGUGGGGUAACGGCCUACCAAGCCGACGGUCAGUAGCCGACCUGAGAGGGUGACCGGCCACAUUGGGACUGAGACACGGCCCAAACUCCUACGGGAGGCAGCAGUGGGGAAUAUUGCACAAUGGGGGAAACCCUGAUGCAGCGACGCCGCGUGAGCGAUGAAGUAUUUCGGUAUGUAAAGCUCUAUCAGCAGGGAAGAAAAUGACGGUACCUGACUAAGAAGCACCGGCUAAAUACGUG